CUAAGAAGACCUCAGGAAAGCUGGAAAGCACAACAGUGAGAUGCAGAAGUAAGAAACACCCCAAUCUUAGCCAAGAAAUUAAGGCUCAGCAGUUUUAGUGCCAAUAUGUGCUUCAGGCUGCAACAGAGACCCUCAUACAGUAUACUGUAUGCAGCCAAUAUCUAUGAAGCCAGCAGAGACAAAGAGACUUGAGGAUCUCUUUGAUGUUUGUUCAAUGCUCAAGAGACCACAGUCCAGUAAACCCAUCCCCAGCAAAAGGUUUGCACAUAAGGUUGAAGGGACUCCCAGCGGGAUCCAAGGAAGCUGAGAAAAUUGAUUCAUGAUUAAUAAGGCCCAGCAAGGCUGCAGAACAUCAUGGACAU
Molecule: long non-coding RNA, 362 nt
Filed under: Lepisosteus oculatus (spotted gar)
Lineage: Eukaryota; Metazoa; Chordata; Actinopteri; Semionotiformes; Lepisosteidae
Description: lncRNA (ENSLOCG00000021178.1)
Source: RNAcentral